RNAcentral lists this unclassified non-coding RNA (3216 nucleotides) under Leishmania donovani. RNAcentral describes it as "gene:LdHU3.12.1620(CDS-product:hypothetical_prote in_conserved)". The record is from RNAcentral. Lineage: Eukaryota; Euglenozoa; Kinetoplastea; Trypanosomatida; Trypanosomatidae.
GCGACCGAGGAACCAGGUGCCCCCCUCGCGCCUGCUGUUUUUCAGUUGUAUUAAGAUCUCUACAGACAUAAAACGGUGAAUGCAGCCGGGCAGCAAUGCACCGCCGAACUCACAACGCAGCGCGUUUAGUCGCAUGAUGAACGCGAGGCGCGCCAGCAGCAUGGAUCGCAGCGCAGUUGCAGGCUUCGACCCCGUCUCCCACUACAGUUCUUGCCCUCCGCUGCCUGUCAUUCGACAGCCGCAGAGCACAGCCCCUCAUGCCGGCUUAAGGCAGCACGAGUCUGGCGUGGCGGCACUCAAGCCCUCGCGUAAAGCGGCGUCGCCGCCGUACGUCAUCACGGAUAAGACUCCGCGCCCAGAGCUGCUCGCCAUCAUCAUGCAGCUGCAAGCGGACCUCACGCAGCGCACCGAUAGCGUGAAUGCGAUUCAGCGAAACUUUGAGCGACUGAGCGCGAUGCGUCACGCUGAGCAGCUCGAGCUUCGGCGCUUGCGUUUGCUGGAGAAGACGCGGCCGGAAUCCGCGCCCGACGGCGGCGACGCUGCGACACGGCAACUGGAGAGCGUUUUGGCAGAGAUGCGACACAGGGCGGUGGAGCAGCAGGCCACAUUCGCUCAGAUGGAGGAGGAACUGCAGGCGGCGAACCGUUUGUGUGCGCUUCACCAAGACAUAGCUCGACUGAUCGCGUCGCACGCGGAUGGAUUUCGGGACGUUCUGCAGGCGGAGGCGUUGGCUCACUCUCAGCUUUACAAGUCUGCUAUGAGUGAGCGUGCCGGCAUAGGCUCUCGGCAUGAGGCGACGCAGCAGCAGCUUUUAUGCAAGGAUGUCGCGCAGCUAGUGGCCGAUCAUCAGGCGCAGAUCGUGCCCAAAUUGAUUCGAGGCGGCGCUGCCGAGAGGUGCCGGAUGAAGAACCCAGCGCAGGUGUCGACUGCAACCUUACUGGAACUGGUGCGCCAGGGGCUUCGUGAGACGGCCGAGGCGGUGCACCAGUAUGUCGCCGCCACACAUGCGACUGAUCAAGAACGCGUGCUCACCGAGGCCGAGGGCCAACGCGACCGCGAGGAGCUGCGGCGUGUGCUGGGAGAACUGCUGCGCCUUCGACGGCGUGCGACGGAGGAGGCUGAAGCGACGGCGCGAACGGCGCUUCUCUUUGGCGCAUUGCAGACAUCCGUUACUGCUCACCGGGCCUUUGAUCACGUACGUUUGCUGACGGCAAACGCUGACGCAGCGGCAGCGGCCACUCGGUCAUCGUGGGAGGUGACGGCCGCUCUGCUUACGCGUCGCAUUUCAGACUGGCGCGACGCUGCGGAUGUGCGACUCGUCGACUUUUGCAACACCAUCGAGGCCUCCAUGGCCGAAAAGGCAAGGGAGCGCGACGCGCAGACGCAGCAGACUGCACAGGAGCUGCUGCUGGACGAACGGAAACGGCUAGAGAAUCUGCAUGCGUCUCAGGUGCAGACCAUGCAGGCGGAUUGGAGAAGGCAGAGAGAUGCUGUGCAGCAGUCGCAUGCGAAGCAGCUGGAGCAGGUGCGAAGGGACCUCGUGGCUCAGGUACAAGUCGCCGAGGACCGUCGCGCUGCGGCGGAGAGGCGGACUGGCGCCAUUGAGGCCGCUCUCACCCAAAUGACACGAGACCACGCCGCGGAAGUGCAGGCCGUCGAGGCACAUUGGCGGUCUGCCGUCUUGGACGCAGAGAGGCAUUGCGAGCAGCGCUGGAGGACGAUGUUGGAGGCGUAUCAAGAGGGGCAGAAAGCCUCUAGGGGGGCCGUGUUGCAACUUAUGGUGGAUGUGCUGCGCACCCGUGGCCACUGCGUGUACGAGGAGCAGGCCGAACGCGCGGCCUUGUGCAGGAGCCACUGGAGGAAUCAGACGCAGCAUCUCCGAGAGGAACAGGCUGCCGUGAUGCAGCAUGGCGUGGCGACUGCGGUCGUGCUUGAGCGUAUGCGGUAUCAUACGGAGGACGAGGCUGCGAGUCGUGCUGUGUUGCACGCAUCCGAGGCUGCAGACUGGGCGGCACUCGUGAGAAAAGAGGCAGCACACAAUGCGCAGGUUCAUCAUGCCGUAUCGAUGGCUGCUGCAGCUGCCCGACUGGAAGGCCUGCGAGCGGAGAUGGCUGGGCGAGAGGCUAGGUGGGAGCAGCGCCUCGACGCACUCGAGACAGACCUUCGACAGGCACAGCAAGAGUGUUUAGGUGCGGUGCACCGCGCUUCUGAUGCUGUUGUUGCAGCGCAGGAGGCACAAGCCGCACUCCAGGCCACUCAGCGAGAUUUCGCCGCAUACCGGUGUGGUGUCGGUGCUGCGGCGCAGCGCAUCGAGGUGGCUGAGAGUGCGACGGAGAGCGCGUGUUGUUGUUCUUUAUGCCUGGAGCUGUAUUGCCAGCCCGUUGCGUGCGUGCCGUGCGGGCAUAUUUACUGCGCAAACUGCCUCCUGCGGCACGCCCGGAACAGGUCGCUGCCGAGUGUUGCUUCGGCGUUCGCCUGUGGUGCGGGCGCCUCAACCGGCGAGAAUGGCGCAGUGGGGGCGAGGGCGCAGCUGGAGGUGACCCACUGGCUCCGUAACAUGUCUACCCCACACGCCUCCCUCUUCUGCCCUGAAUGCGCGUCUACAACAGUGUCGACCGUGGUGGAGCUGCCGAUUCUCGGCGAGCUCACGGCGAAGUACGACUACAAGAAACGAAGCCUUGCAGUGCUCCUGGCUGAGCUGCGCUGACCACCUUUGCGCUUGGAAAAGGCAUGCAGGGCGAACGGAUGGGGACCGGGAGGAGGGCGUUGUGCGCGUGCGCGCGAGAUGUCUCGAACGGUGGUAAGACGCGUGCGCGGGGGUGUUCGUCUCCCUGUCGCUGUGCGUGACGUCGAGUUGCUUGCUGUGGUUGUGGUCUGCGGGGAUAUUGUGUAUAUAGAACCUGCUCAACCUGUGCUCUACCGGGAAGCGAAGCGGAAAAAAAAACGACGGAGGCCCGAGGCAGCCCUUUGGCAUAAUGGCGCACGUCUCCCGUUCUCUUAAUGCCCGUCUGUCUGCUACUGUUUAAGAGCGCCACUGGGGACGCGUUUUACUGUGUACCUGCCAGAGAAAGAAGUCAGAAGCAACACAAUAUGGGCAGUGCAUGUGCUGAGACAGUCGCACACGCAUGCCGGCUGAGUUCCACACGAACAAUAAUGCAAGGCGCAUGUGCUGCUCACCUUAUGCCUGACGACAUCGGCCACGUUAUCUUUCGCGUU